CUGCAACUAGAUGGACCUGCUUGGA
Molecule: non-coding RNA, 25 nt
Filed under: Mus musculus (house mouse)
Lineage: Eukaryota; Metazoa; Chordata; Mammalia; Rodentia; Muridae
Source: RNAcentral